RNAcentral lists this long non-coding RNA (499 nucleotides) under Homo sapiens (human). RNAcentral's name for it is "non-protein coding lnc-AKR1E2-5:2". Lineage: Eukaryota; Metazoa; Chordata; Mammalia; Primates; Hominidae. The record is from RNAcentral.
CCUGGCUCCAACAUCCCAGGGAAUUGUGUCACUCCCAUUGAGCAGCUGUGGGGCCCUCUCCCACAUGGCCCAGGUCCACCACUCUGUCAAAGGUCGCACAGCCCAGACAAAAACAGGACACAGCAGUGUGUGAAUGAGCCGGGCUUUCUCCUUCCCUCCACGUAAUAGAAGGUGCCUGAGGUUGUUGAAACACAGUCCAUUUCUCCUGGGAAUGACAAGAAUUUGAGGGAUGCUGACUUUCAAGGAAUACUGCAUGACAGGCAUCAAGAUAAACCUGAUGAAGAAAACAUAGGCCAGAAUCUGGGAAUCGGGAGCAAAGUAAUACAGCUUCGGGGACAGGCACGUAAUGAGGUCAUGAUGUAGGAGACUCCCUGCAGGACUGGCGGCCCCUGUUCCCUGGGUUGUUCUGGCUCUUUCAGUGCAGGGACGCAAACACAGGAAGAGCCCCCAUGGCCCUCGCUGGGAAAGACGGGCUCACUCGUUGCACGUGAGCACUGCA